RNAcentral lists this ribosomal RNA (253 nucleotides) under uncultured bacterium. Its description in RNAcentral is "partial 16S ribosomal RNA". It matches the Rfam family "Bacterial small subunit ribosomal RNA", at positions 524 to 776 of the family's 1533-position model. The record is from RNAcentral.
UACGGAGGGUGCGAGCGUUGUUCGGAAUCACUGGGCGUAAAGGGCGUGUAGGCGGUCCGCUAAGUCUGAUGUGAAAGCCCGGGGCUCACCCCCGGAAGUGCAUUGGAAACUGGCGGACUCGAGUCCCGGAGAGGAGAGUGGAAUUCCUGGUGUAGCGGUGAAAUGCGUAGAGAUCGGGAGGAACAUCAGUGGCGAAGGCGGCCAUCUGGGACAACACUGACGCUGAGGCACGAAAGCGUGGGGAGCAAACAGG